RNAcentral lists this ribosomal RNA (253 nucleotides) under uncultured bacterium. RNAcentral's name for it is "partial 16S ribosomal RNA". It matches the Rfam family "Bacterial small subunit ribosomal RNA", at positions 524 to 776 of the family's 1533-position model. The record is from RNAcentral.
UACGUAGGUGGCAAGCGUUGUCCGGAUUUACUGGGCGUAAAGAGCGCGCAGGCGGUCGAUUUAGUCGCGUGUGAAAGCCCCCGGCUCAACUGGGGAGGGUCACGCGAUACUGAUCGACUCGAAGGCAGGAGAGGGUAGUGGAAUUCCCGGUGUAGUGGUGAAAUGCGUAGAUAUCGGGAGGAACACCAGUGGCGAAGGCGGCAUCCUGGACCAAUAUUGACGCUGAGGCGCGAAAGCGUGGGGAGCGAACAGG